Molecule: ribosomal RNA, 375 nt
Filed under: uncultured bacterium
Lineage: Bacteria
Description: bacterial SSU rRNA
Rfam family: Bacterial small subunit ribosomal RNA
Source: RNAcentral
AACGAACGCUGGCGGUAUGCUUAACACAUGCAAGUCGAACGGACUUAUUAGAGCUUGCUUUAAUAAGUUAGUGGCAAACGGGUGAGUAACACGUGGGAAUCUACCCAUCAGUACGGAAUAACAUUUGGAAACAAAUGCUAAUACCGUAUAUUCUCUACGGAGGAAAGAUUUAUCGCUGAUGGAUGAGCCCGCGUUAGAUUAGGUAGUUGAUAGGGUAAUGGCCUACCAAGCCGACGAUCUAUAGCUGGUCUGAGAGGAUGAUCAGCCACACUGGGACUGAGACACGGCCCAGACUCCUACGGGAGGCAGCAGUGGGGAAUUUUGGACAAUGGGCGCAAGCCUGAUCCAGCAAUGCCGCGUGCAGGAAGAAGGCCU